UCCCUGCCGUAAAGCUGCGCCCUCGAGGCCGUGGGUAGGCCGCCCCUCCCAACGUCGGCGUCUCCUCCUAUUCCCCGGAGCGUGCGCAGGCUGGAGGUAAAUGAAGAAUUCAGAGCUUGAACCCAAGUUCGAAACAAGAUGCCAAAAAAGGAAGAAAAGAUCAAAGAGCUUGGAACAGAAUUCCGGCAAAAUCAAAAACAGUAAUGCGCUCAGAGGUCCUGAGUGGGAACCAGUGUCAUGUUGAAGGUGAACAAACGAAACCUUUCAUCUGAUCCCAGGUUUUAUUCUAGGUUCGAGUCUAAGAGGGCCAGAACGAGGCAUAAGGCAAAGCACAAGUUUUCUUAGCGAGCAACAGGAAAAGACAACGUGCUCUUCUAUACGUGACAAAUGUAACAAGGUAGGUCAUGAUUCUGAUUCCUAUAAUAUCUCAAAAAGGAAACCAAAUCUCAAGCCUUUGGACUAAUGUAGUAUGUGAACAAGAAACUUAUUAAAGAAAAUUGAGGGUGUUUUCAGCAGGAUGUGUUGCUGGGAG
RNAcentral lists this long non-coding RNA (532 nucleotides) under Felis catus (domestic cat). Its description in RNAcentral is "lncRNA (ENSFCAG00000050763.1)". Lineage: Eukaryota; Metazoa; Chordata; Mammalia; Carnivora; Felidae. The record is from RNAcentral.